UCAGGCCUAACACAUGCAAGUCGUACGGGAAUUUUUAAUUCAAGUGGCGGACGGGUGAGUAACACGUAAGAAUUUGCCUUUAGGAGGGGGACAACAACUGGAAACGGUUGCUAAUACCCCAUAUGCUUUCGAGUGAAAUGGAUUUUUCCGCCUAAAGAGAAGCUUGCGGCUGAUUAGCUUGUUGGUGAGGUAAUGGCUCACCAAGGCGACGAUCAGUAUCUGGUUUGAGAGGAUGAUCAGACACACUGGAACUGAGACACGGUCCAGACUCCUACGGGAGGCAGCAGUGGGGAAUUUUCCGCAAUGGGCGAAAGCCUGACGGAGCAAUCUCGCGUGAGGGAUGACGGCGUAUGGGUUGUAAACCUCUUUUUUCAGGGAGGAACAAAAUGAC
RNAcentral lists this ribosomal RNA (391 nucleotides) under uncultured bacterium. Its description in RNAcentral is "bacterial SSU rRNA". It matches the Rfam family "Bacterial small subunit ribosomal RNA", at positions 42 to 458 of the family's 1533-position model. The record is from RNAcentral.